This 541-nucleotide long non-coding RNA is filed under the name Lingula anatina. RNAcentral describes it as "uncharacterized LOC106174666". The record is from RNAcentral. Lineage: Eukaryota; Metazoa; Brachiopoda; Lingulata; Lingulida; Lingulidae.
AGUUGGGGUACUUUUGCGCAUGCGCGUACUUUCUCGUGUGUUUGCAGUUUCAUUUUUAAUCUGACGCUGUAAAUAGCGCUCUUAAUAAUGCCAGGAUACUGUUGUGUUCCGGAAUGAACAUCGUCAACAGGAGGUCAUUCUUUUCCGAAAGACACAAAACUGAGUUACCAGUGGAGAGUUGCCAUCAAGGGGGUUUAUUCUACAUCAAAAACACUAUGGAAACCAAAGGCACAUGACAAUGUCUGUUUCCUCCACUUUCGUGAGGAAGAUUACACUUCUACAUGAGAGAAAAAGACUGAAGCCAGGAACGAUAGGGCCUACCAUCCAUAUUUCCAUUUAAUAAAGUGAAAGACGUACCAUCAUCACGUACUAGCCGUCUAGCUAAACGCCGCAAAGUAUCAGAUCCGGUGACAGUACCAACAGCUCCUGAUUAUAUUCAUGAAGUGGAGGUUGAGUCUCAAGCAGAUGAAGCAGUGGAAGACAAACAUGAAGACUGCCCUGGUGAGAGCCAAAAAGAAAGUACAGCUUCCCAGUGUGAUAU